GACGAACGCUGGCGGCGUGCUUAACACAUGCAAGUCGAACGGUAAGGCCCUUCGGGGUACACGAGUGGCGAACGGGUGAGUAACACGUGGGUGAUCUGCCCUGCACUUCGGGAUAAGCCUGGGAAACUGGGUCUAAUACCGGAUAGGACCACUGCCUGCAUGGGUGGUGGUGGAAAGCUCUUGCGGUGUGGGAUGGGCCCGCGGCCUAUCAGCUUGUGGGUGGGGUGAUGGCCUACCAAGGCGACGACGGGUAGCCGGCCUGAGAGGGGAACCGGACGCGCUGGGACGGAGAUACGGCUCAGACUCCUACGGGAGGCAGCAGUGGGGAAUCUUGCACAAUGGGUGCAUGCCUGAUGCAGCGACGCCGCGUGAGGGAUGACGGCCUUCGGGUUGUAAACCUCUUUCAGCACCGACGAAGCGCAAGUGACGGUAGGUGCAGAAGAAGGACCGGCCAACUACGUGCCAGCCGCUGCAGUAA
Molecule: ribosomal RNA, 478 nt
Filed under: uncultured bacterium
Lineage: Bacteria
Description: partial 16S ribosomal RNA
Rfam family: Bacterial small subunit ribosomal RNA
Source: RNAcentral